AGCAGCCGCGGUAAUUCCAGCUCCAAUAGCGUAUAUUAAAGUUGUUGCAGUUAAAAAGCUCGUAGUUGAAUUUCGAGAUCAGUACGCUGGUCGUGCCUUCGGUAUGCACUGGUGUCACUGGUUUCUCCCUUCUGAAGAACCGUUAUGUCAUUAAGUUGGUGUGGCGGGGAAUCAGGACUGUUACUUUGAAAAAUUAGAGUGUUUAAAGCAGGCUCGCGCUUGAAUACAUUAGCAUGGAAUAAUGAAAUAGGACGUUUGACCCUAUUUUGUUGGUUUCUAGGAUCGACGUAAUGAUUAAUAGGGAUAGUUGGGGGCAUUAGUAUUCAAUUGUCAGGGGUGAAAUCCUUGGAUUUAUUGAAGACUAACUACUGCGAAAGCAUUUGCCAAGGAUGUUUUCAUUAAUCAAGAACGAAAGUUUGGGGAUCGAAGACGAUCAGAUACCGUCGUAGUCUUAACCAUAAACUAUGCCGACUAGGGAUCGGAUGAUGUUAAUUUUUAAUGUACUCUA
RNAcentral lists this ribosomal RNA (508 nucleotides) under uncultured Glomeraceae. Its description in RNAcentral is "SSU rRNA". It matches the Rfam family "Eukaryotic small subunit ribosomal RNA", at positions 569 to 1083 of the family's 1831-position model. The record is from RNAcentral. Lineage: Eukaryota; Fungi; Glomeromycota; Glomeromycetes; Glomerales; Glomeraceae.